This 391-nucleotide ribosomal RNA is filed under the name uncultured bacterium. RNAcentral's name for it is "bacterial SSU rRNA". It matches the Rfam family "Bacterial small subunit ribosomal RNA", at positions 28 to 420 of the family's 1533-position model. The record is from RNAcentral.
GACGAACGCUGGCGGCGUGCUUAACACAUGCAAGUCGAGCGGUAAGGCCCUUUCGGGGGUACACGAGCGGCGAACGGGUGAGUAACACGUGGGUGACCUGCCCUCAGCUCUGGGAUAAGCCUGGGAAACCGGGUCUAAUACUGGAUAUGACUCCAUGACGCAUGUUGUGGGGUGGAAAGCCUUGUGCGGCUGAGGAUGGGCCCGCGGCCUAUCAGCUUGUUAGUGGGGUGANGGCCUACCAAGGCGACGACGGGUAGCCGGCCUGAGAGGGCGACCGGCCACACUGGGACUGAGACACGGCCCAGACUCCUACGGGAGGCAGCAGUGGGGAAUCUUGCGCAAUGGGCGAAAGCCUGACGCAGCGACGCCGCGUGAGGGAUGACGGCCUGGU